This is a long non-coding RNA of Diachasmimorpha longicaudata, 1294 nucleotides long. RefSeq lists it as uncharacterized. Lineage: Eukaryota; Metazoa; Arthropoda; Insecta; Hymenoptera; Braconidae. The transcript has 4 exons. The record is from RefSeq and is a predicted model, not a curated record.
AGUAAAUAAAUGAACUAGAAGAAUGACUCGAAGACUCUAAAUGUACUUUUUCACAGUUGGAGAAUAUUACCGACACCUUUCCAUUUAAUCAAUGGACCAGGCUAUUGGCUUGGGAAGUGCCAGGAAAGUGGUCCCUUCCUUUCAGUAAAAGUAUUGCUAUUCAAGUAAACUCAUGCGUGAAAGGUCAACGGGAUGCACAUGUAAGGCCUCUUGUACGACUGAUUGUUAGUGAGUGGGUGGGCUCGUUUGGUCGCCAGGACUAAGGGUGAAUAGCAACGCCACAUGUCGUCGCCUCGAUGACUCUUCAAUCAUCACAUUAUAAUUACGGCACUCACAUGCACGAGCUACACAAAUUCCUGUUCCCUCUAGUCCCAAAGUACUUUUGACACCAACUCGAAGAAUCGACCGGUUAGAAACCUCUCAGGGAACCGUAGAAAGCACUCCAGUUGUCCACGACCUAAACAUCCCAACACGUGGACAACCCCAUAGACAAAAGGGCCUUGUCUUUGGGUCAGACCUCUCACCCUGGACGAACCAAAUACGAGGGACACUCUCGAGCAAACCACAUCGGAUUAUCAAUCUGCCUAAAAUUAUAUCGAGUCCUCGACUAGAAAAUUAUUGCCAACGACGUUGAAUUUCGCCGAAGAGAUUGAGAUUUCGAUGUUGGGGGGCUGCGAACGAGGUGGACAUUACGCUCUUCUCGUCCACCUAGAAGGCAGGCCGAUUGAUAUCUAGAGGUAGCUCGUGCCACAUGAGCCUCUUGGAAGCACGGCCGCCUAAUUAACUCCGUGACUGGAUGACCCCUGGCAGAUCCGAGUUCUCUGGCAUGCAUUGCUCUUGCCUGGAUGGCGCCUACGCGAGCGCCUUCGCCAACCGCUGUACACCCACGCCCGCCGGGGUACACCAAAGUCGAGCACUGCAGGAGAACGAGAGGGAGAGGCAGAGUCAGGGUUGGCCUGUGGAUAAAGUCAUCAUCGUGCCACUGCCCCCCUCGCAGUGUCUGGAGAGGUCAACCGGAGAAAGGGUUGUACGUCUGCGCCAAACUCUGUCGGUCGCUGUAAGCGCUGCGCCGCCCAGACAUUCUCGAGCGCAACGUUGUCAGAGUCGCGUCGAAGUCGACGGACCACGCACACACUGCUGGGGGCUGCCAUGGGAGUCGACAACACCGUUCGUCAGAUUCUUACGGAGGGGAUAAUGGCAGCAGGGACGUUACACUCAUUUCUACGGCCUCAAUCAAAAACAAACUUUAUUUAAAAAUAAUUAAUAUCCGUAAUGAUAAUACGAGGCUUUAGGG